Molecule: ribosomal RNA, 440 nt
Filed under: uncultured Prosthecomicrobium sp.
Lineage: Bacteria; Pseudomonadati; Pseudomonadota; Alphaproteobacteria; Hyphomicrobiales; Kaistiaceae
Description: bacterial SSU rRNA
Rfam family: Bacterial small subunit ribosomal RNA
Source: RNAcentral
CCUACGGGAGGCUGCAGUGGGGAAUAUUGGACAAUGGGGGCAACCCUGAUCCAGCCAUGCCGCGUGAGUGAUGAAGGCCUUAGGGUUGUAAAGCUCUUUCGCCCGCGAAGAUAAUGACUGUAGCGGGAGAAGAAGCCCCGGCUAACUUCGUGCCAGCAGCCGCGGUAAUACGAAGGGGGCUAGCGUUGUUCGGAAUCACUGGGCGUAAAGCGUACGUAGGCGGGCAAUUAAGUCAGGGGUGAAAGCCUUGAGCUCAACUCAAGAACUGCCUUUGAUACUGGUUGCCUGGAGUCCGGGAGAGGUGAGUGGAACUGCUAGUGUAGAGGUGAAAUUCGUAGAUAUUAGCAAGAACACCAGUGGCGAAGGCGGCUCACUGGCCCGGUACUGACGCUGAGGUACGAAAGCGUGGGGAGCAAACAGGAUUAGAUACCCGAGUAGUC